GACGAACGCUGGCGGCGGGCUUAACACAUGCAAGUCGAACGGAAAGGCCCUGCUUGUGUGGGGUGCUCGAGGGGCGAACGGGUGAGUAACACGGGAGUAACCUGCCCUUGACGGUGUGAUAACUGCAGGAAACUGGGGCUAAUACCUGAGAGGAGCGCCUGCUGCAUGGUGGGGGUUGGAAAGUUUAGGCGGUUGGGGCUGGACGCGCGGCUUAUCAGCUUGUGGGUGGGGGAGUGGCUUACGAAGGCUUUGACGGGUAGCCGGCCUGGGAGGGUGACCGGGCACCAUGGGCCUGAGAUACGGACCAGACUCCUAUGGGAGGCAGCAGUGGGGAAUAUUGCACAAUGGGCGGGAGCCUGAUGCAGAAACGUCGCGUGCGGGAUGCCGGCCUUCGGGUUGUAAACCGCUUUCGCCUGUGACGAAGCGUGAGUGACGGUAAUGGGUAAAGAAGCACCGGCUAACUACGUG
RNAcentral lists this ribosomal RNA (468 nucleotides) under uncultured bacterium. RNAcentral describes it as "partial 16S ribosomal RNA". It matches the Rfam family "Bacterial small subunit ribosomal RNA", at positions 28 to 507 of the family's 1533-position model. The record is from RNAcentral.